Molecule: ribosomal RNA, 301 nt
Filed under: Salmonella enterica subsp. diarizonae
Lineage: Bacteria; Pseudomonadati; Pseudomonadota; Gammaproteobacteria; Enterobacterales; Enterobacteriaceae
Description: bacterial SSU rRNA
Rfam family: Bacterial small subunit ribosomal RNA
Source: RNAcentral
CAAGGCGACGAUCCCUAGCUGGUCUGAGAGGAUGACCAGCCACACUGGAACUGAGACACGGUCCAGACUCCUACGGGAGGCAGCAGUGGGGAAUAUUGCACAAUGGGCGCAAGCCUGAUGCAGCCAUGCCGCGUGUAUGAAGAAGGCCUUCGGGUUGUAAAGUACUUUCAGCGGGGAGGAAGGUGUUGUGGUUAAUAACCGCAGCAAUUGACGUUACCCGCAGAAGAAGCACCGGCUAACUCCGUGCCAGCAGCCGCGGUAAUACGGAGGGUGCAAGCGUUAAUCGGAAUUACUGGGCGUA